GAACCAGGUUUCUCCCCAGUAAUCCAGACUCCACUUCAGAGCCAAGAGUUUGAGUACAAGGCACUUGACUUUCUGGAUAAAAGUUCGUCAAGUACUAAACUUUACACCCCCAGCAGAAAAUGUACCCUGGCAGCAAAUGGGUGAAAAGGCUGGAGGAGAAAGUCAUCGCUCCGUUAUUGGCCCUUGGACUCCCCUGGCAUCGCAUGUACAGCAUGAAGUUUUCAGCAAUGAAGGUAUAUUCUAGGCCUAUGUCCUAAUGUCCAGUUUUUUAACAGUUUUGAAAAUAACUGUGCCUUUAGUUUUCCAGAACGAGAACCAAGCCCUGAGGGAGGAGAACCAAGCCCUGAGGGAGGAGAACCAAGCCCUGAGGGAGGAGAACCAAGCCCUGAGGGAGGGGAGCCAUGCACGAGCAGCUUCGGGUGACAGCGGCUCGCUUCAAGAGCAGGUGAAGCUAUUUGGGACAACGCUGAAGAUGUUUGCUCGCACUGGGCAAUCAGGUGCAGAUCAGACCCUAGUGCUGCGACGUCUUGGAGAGUUUGGCGAUGUUGUGCGUAGCAUGGAAAACAAAAUGGACACUAUGCUGCAACAUUUCAGUGCCAAUGUGUCUGUUGGAGAGCUAUCCCUGCCAGGGGAUGUUACUCCCCCUAGACACCCAGGAAGAUUUGGUGUUUCUUGACAGCAUUUUGAGGGAGGAUAAAGAGCUCCAGGAACGAUUUGUGUGUUGCUUUCGUUUAUAAGGCCGUAGGGUAAUCUAAAAAGUCAAAUUAAGUUUGUACACUGUAUAUUCUACAGUCUAAAUCCACAGCCUGUCACAUUUUAUAUUUAUGUAUGAGAAGCUUGCGAGAAAUGUAAUUUAACACAUUUUCAGCUUCGGUUUUUGGCUAUCAAAUGUGGGAGGGACCUGAAGACAACAGUGUGGAGAAUGCUUCAGAGUAUUUUCUCUAAUAACCUUG
This is a long non-coding RNA of Esox lucius (northern pike), 953 nucleotides long. NCBI's taxonomy places the organism in Eukaryota, Metazoa, Chordata, Actinopteri, Esociformes, Esocidae. The record is from Ensembl.